GAUGAACGCUGGCGGCGUGCCUAAUACAUGCAAGUCGAGCGAACAGACGAGGAGCUUGCUCUUCUGACGUUAGCGGCGGACGGGUGAGUAACACGUGGAUAACCUACCUAUAAGACUGGGAUAACUUCGGGUAACCGGAGCUAAUACCGGAUAACAUGUUGAACCGCAUGGUUCAACAGUGAAAGACGGUCUUGCUGUCACUUAUAGAUGGAUCCGCGCCGCAUUAGCUAGUUGGUAAGGUAACGGCUUACCAAGGCAACGAUGCGUAGCCGACCUGAGAGGGUGAUCGGCCACACUGGAACUGAGACACGGUCCAGACUCCUACGGGAGGCAGCAGUAGGGAAUCUUCCGCAAUGGGCGAAAGCCUGACGGAGCAACGCCGCGUGAGUGAAGAAGGUCUUCGGAUCGUAAAACUCUGUUAUUAGGGAAGAACAAAUGUGUAAGUAACUAUGCACGUCUUGACGGUACCUAAUCAGAAAGCCACGGCUAACUACGUG
This 497-nucleotide ribosomal RNA is filed under the name uncultured bacterium. RNAcentral describes it as "partial 16S ribosomal RNA". It matches the Rfam family "Bacterial small subunit ribosomal RNA", at positions 28 to 507 of the family's 1533-position model. The record is from RNAcentral.